GGAAGUGGACGCGGCGAAGCAGAGAAUCGAUGGGAAAGUGCGGAGGAAAGGAAGCAGCUACUGAGAGGGGCUGGAGAACCCGCCUGGUUUCCAAUACUGUGCUACGUUUCUCUUCAGCAGUGGGGACAUUUUAGACGAGUGGAAGCUGGUGGCGUUCCGUGGACAGUGUAUGGCCAGACGUCCUCUCUUAUUUCUGCCCCCUGCCCUGUCACCUUCCCGGACCACGCGACGCCCUGUUUGCUCCAGAGAAACAGGCAGCUCUCAUCCUUCAGGAGCAUGCUGUUGGCCUCAGUGGGUAGGUGGCUAAGAGCUACAGAGGCCAUGUGUCAGGGGUAAAAGGGUGUUCGCUGCUGGGGACACCACACACUGCGCCAGGUUGAGGGGUCUGUUGAUGUGGAGAUGAAGCUCAAACAGCGCAUGGUGGUACUGUGCGCCGUGCUCCUCCUGCUGGGCCUGGCUAAGAUCUUCCUGCUGGAUGGAGGCGAGGGUUCUGCAGCUAGUCGCCGUGACCUGAGAGCAUUUCGCAAGAUGGAAGCUAGCCUUUCUCUCUCCCGAGGGCUCGCCUCACUCACACCCUCCAGUCUCCGUGGGAGAUAGCGAGCCAGUGGGUGGGUCCUCGAGAGGUGUACCCAGAGGAGACUCCAGAGCUGGCUGCUGUCCUCACCUGCCUCAGCACUGCCAGGAUAGAACGGGCAGAUGUGGGCUAUAAGGGUACACAGCUUAAAGCACUGUUGGUGUUGGAUGGGGUCAGAAAGUUGUCUUCAAACCCAAGAGAUAUAACAGAGACUAUGUGGUUGAAGGUGAACCGUAUGCAGGUUAUGACAGACACAACGCAGAAGUGGCAGCUUUUCACUUGGACAG
Thalassophryne amazonica is the source of this 861-nucleotide long non-coding RNA. RefSeq lists it as uncharacterized. NCBI's taxonomy places the organism in Eukaryota, Metazoa, Chordata, Actinopteri, Batrachoidiformes, Batrachoididae. The record is from RefSeq and is a predicted model, not a curated record. The transcript has 4 exons.